GCGUUAAAUUCGGCAUUUUUGUGUUUGGAAUUAAUUACAUCACACUGCGGACGUGCUUUUAUAUACAAUUUGUUCCCCUAAUUGGCUCAACAAUUGUUUUGACGCUUCAGCUAUGCAUUGGAAUCGACCGUCUGAUCGGAGUUAUCUUUCCAAUCUGGUUAUAAAGCUUAUAAUUUUUAUAUUAGCUUUUUAAGAUAAUUUAUUUAAAUUAAUAUAUAUCAUUAAUAUUUUUAAGGUAUAAAGCAAAUGGAAAAAACGUCACUUUUAAAUUUGUCAUUGGCUUUUGUUGCAUUAGAUCGAUAUUAAAUGGGUUCAACAUCUACAUUGGAAGCUCCAGGCAUUGGGAAAAGUUAGAAUUUUGCAAAAAAUUAAUUUAAAAAGAAAAUUUAGACCGGUGAUGUGCAUUGCUGGCGACCCCAGNGCAACGGGUCCGUGUUGGUUUGAGCUGGCGGUCGGUGGCGGUCGCGUGCGACACGUGCCAGCAGUCAGUUCGGUCCUGCUCGGGCUCUCAUUGCAUGUUCUCGGUGUAAAAGCCGGUCAUCUGUCCGACCCGUCUUGAAACACGGACCAAGGAGUUUAGCGUGUGCGCGAGUCAUUGGGAGUUGAAAACCCAAGGGCGUAAUGAAAGUGAAGGUCUCCUUGCGGAGCUGAUGUGUGAUCUCGUGCACCCCGGUGUGCGGGCGCAACAUAGUCCCGUCCCGAUCGCAUGCGAUGGGGCGGAGACAGAGCGUACGCGCUGAGACCCGAAAGAUGGUGAACUAUUCCUGAGCAGGAUGAAGCCAGAGGAAACUCUGGUGGAAGUCCGAAGCGAUUCUGACGUGCAAAUCGAUCGUCUGACUUGGGUAUAGGGGCGAAAGACUAAUCGAACCAUCUAGUAGCUGGUUCCCUCCGAAGUUUCCCCCAGGAUAGCUGGAGCUCGUCAAGCAGUUAUACUCGGUAAAGCGAAUGAUUAGAGGACUUGGGGACGAAAUGUUCUUAACCUAUUCUCAAACUCUAAAUGGGUAUGAAGCCAGGGUUGCUUGACUCUGAACCCCGGCGUUGAAUGUUUGAGCUCCAAGUGGGCCAUUUUUGGUAAGCAGAACUGGCGAUGUGGGAUGAACCAAACGUGGAGUUAAGGUGCCAAAGUGCCCGCUCAUUAGACCCCAUAAAAGGUGUUGGUUGAUAUAGACAGCAGGACGGUGGCCAUGGAAGUCGGAAUCCGCUAAGGAGUGUGUAACAACUCACCUGCCGAAUCAACUAGCCCUGAAAAUGGAUGGCGCUGGAGCGGGCCACCUAUACUCUGCCGUCAUUGGCUUGUACGCCACUGCUGUGGACAGUCUGGCCAUGACGUGUAGGAGGGUCGUGGUGGUUGCGUUGAAGGCUUUGGGCGUGGGCCCGGCCGGAGCUUCCACCAGUGCAGAUCUUGGUGGUAGUAGCAAAUAUUCAAGUGAGAUCCUUGAAGACUGAAGUGGAGAAGGGUUCCACGUGAACAGCAGUUGAAUGUGGGUCAGCCGAUCCUAAGGCACCGGCUAAUGCCGUCACACACUACGGAUGAAGACUUUGCUGUGCUUGCGCAGUUUGUCCAUCCGGUUGCCGAAAGGGAAGUGGGUUAACAUUCCCACGCCAGGCCAGGGAAAUGACGGUUCGCAAGAACUGUUUCGCGCGGUAACGCAAAUGAACUCGCAGACGUCGUGUGGAGUCCGAGCCAGAGUUCUCUUUUCUGGUUUAGGGCGUGCGUGCCUGGAAGUGGCUCAGCCUGAGAUAGGGAUGUUGCGCCCGUAAAGCACCGCGGUUCCUGUGGUGUCUCGUGCGCUCCACACGGCCCUUGAAAAUGCGAGNGCCGUCUCCUUGCGGGGUGGUGCGUGGACUAGUGGUGAGAGCUGCUUGUGGAGCGCUUCAGCUGCGUGUAUGCUCGUCAGGGUAUGCACUUCGGUUGGCGCUGAACGACCAGUUUAGAACUGGCACGAACUCGGGGAAUCCGACUGUCUAAUUAAAACAGAGGAGACGGAUGGUCCUUGUGGACGUUGACCGUGUCUGAUUUCUGCCCAGUGCUCUGAAUGUUAAGCCAAGGAAACUUGAUUAAGCGCGGGUAAACGGCGGGAGUAACUAUGACUCUCUUAAGGUAGCCAAAUGCCUCGUCGGCUAACUACCGACGCGCACGAAUGGGGGGCUGGUCAGACUGUGUAGGGCACGUACGCCUGAGCACAAUCAGACCAAAGCACGCUGCCUCCAGGGUGCUACACUGGCGAACAAGGGAUUCGGUGUAGUGUCAACUCCGGCUGGAGCCACCCUAGGAGCCCCCCGGGUGACGCCAAAGAGCGUGCGCGCGUAUUGGAUCUGUCCCAUAUAUACCCUAUUACUCUAUAACUAUGUCUGGUGUAUGCAUAUUGACCUUAUUCUCAUAUGAACUGCCAUUUUCAUGCAGAAAUAACACGAGACUGCUGUUCAGAUUAUGAAUAAUAAUCGCUUUUUUAAUGCCCGAAAACCGUUCGUGCAACAGCAGCAGCAGCAACAGUUCCGUAACCGCGCACCUCUGGCUCCGGCUCGUAAAGAACCAGGGUGCAAGGUUCAGCUGCUCGUCCAGGAUUUCUUUAAGCAUAUUGAAAUCAGUAAGGGUUAAGUGUAUAACGAAAGCCCAAUGUGUUAUUUCGUGCAGAAAAUGGCAAGGUGGUCGUCUCGAGGGAUGAGCUCAACGCGGCCCUCGAAGCUGCCGAGCCAGUCGUUGAAGAGAAGAACCCGCUGUCGGGGAUGGAGGCUCGACUCAAAGCAUUGGAAGAGCAGCUGGCCGCGGCUCCGAUUCCAGUGCAGAAAGUCGU
Molecule: ribosomal RNA, 2795 nt
Filed under: Globodera rostochiensis
Lineage: Eukaryota; Metazoa; Nematoda; Chromadorea; Rhabditida; Heteroderidae
Description: eukaryotic LSU rRNA
Rfam family: Eukaryotic large subunit ribosomal RNA (bases 1-2215)
Source: RNAcentral